RNAcentral lists this ribosomal RNA (261 nucleotides) under uncultured Anaerolineaceae bacterium. Its description in RNAcentral is "partial 16S ribosomal RNA". It matches the Rfam family "Bacterial small subunit ribosomal RNA", at positions 1107 to 1382 of the family's 1533-position model. Lineage: Bacteria; Bacillati; Chloroflexota; Anaerolineae; Anaerolineales; Anaerolineaceae. The record is from RNAcentral.
GCCGUUAGUUACAUGUGUCUAACGGGACUGCCCGGCUCAACUGGGAGGAAGUGGGGACGACGUCAAGUCAGCAUGGCCUUUAUAUCCUGGGCUACACACACGCUACAAUGGUCGGUACAAUGGGUCGCCAAGCCGCGAGGCGGAGCCAAUCCUCCAAAACCGGCCUCAGUUCAGAUUGUAGGCUGCAACUCGCCUGCAUGAAGUUGGAGUUGCUAGUAACCGCGCGUCAGCUAUAGUGCGGUGAAUACGUUCCCGGGGCUU